CCUACGGGUGGCAGCAGUGAGGAAUAUUGGUCAAUGGCCGGAAGGCUGAACCAGCCAUGCCGCGUGAAGGUCAGUGCCCUAUGGGCGUUAAACUUCUUUUGUGCGGGAGCAAUAAUGGUCACGUGUGGCCAGACGAGAGUACCGUACGAAUAAGCAUCGGCUAACACCGUGCCAGCAGCCGCGGUAAUACGGGGGAUGCAAGCGUUAUCCGGGUUUAUUGGGUUUAAAGGGGGCGUAGGGUGGGAGGUAAGUCAGCGGGGAAAUGCCCCCGCUCAACGGGGUGAAGUGCCAUUGAUACUGCCUUGCUGGAAUGCGGAUGCCGUGGGAGGAAUGUGUGGUGUAGCGGUGAAAUGCAUAGAUAUCACACAGAACACCGAUUGCGAAGGCAUCUCACGAAUCCGCGAUUGACGCUGAUGCACGAAAGCGUGGGUAUCAAACAGGAUUAGAUACCCCGGUAGUC
RNAcentral lists this ribosomal RNA (460 nucleotides) under uncultured bacterium. RNAcentral describes it as "partial 16S ribosomal RNA". It matches the Rfam family "Bacterial small subunit ribosomal RNA", at positions 338 to 795 of the family's 1533-position model. The record is from RNAcentral.